UACGUAGGUGGCUAGCGUUGUCCGGAUUUACUGGGCGUAAAGAGCGCGCAGGCGGUCGUUCAAGUCGAGUGUGAAAGCCCCCGGCUCAACUGGGGAGGGUCACUCGAUACUGAUCGACUUGAAGGCGGGAGAGGGAAGCGGAAUUCCCGGUGUAGUGGUGAAAUGCGUAGAUAUCUGGAGGAACACCGGUGGCGAAGGCGGCAUCCUGGACCGACACUGACACUGAGGAGCGAAAGCCAGGGGAGCAAACGGG
This 253-nucleotide ribosomal RNA is filed under the name uncultured bacterium. RNAcentral's name for it is "partial 16S ribosomal RNA". It matches the Rfam family "Bacterial small subunit ribosomal RNA", at positions 524 to 776 of the family's 1533-position model. The record is from RNAcentral.